ACGCUGGCGGCGUGCCUAAUACAUGCAAGUCGAACGCACAGCGAAAGGUGCUUGCACCUUUCAAGUGAGUGGCGAACGGGUGAGUAACACGUGGACAACCUGCCUCAAGGCUGGGGAUAACAUUCGGAAACAGAUGCUAAUACCGAAUAAAACUUAGUGUCGCAUGACACAAAGUUAAAAGGCGCUUCGGCGUCACCUAGAGAUGGAUCCGCGGUGCAUUAGUUAGUUGGUGGGGUAAAGGCCUACCAAGACAAUGAUGCAUAGCCGAGUUGAGAGACUGAUCGGCCACAUUGGGACUGAGACACGGCCCAAACUCCUACGGGAGGCUGCAGUAGGGAAUCUUCCACAAUGGGCGAAAGCCUGAUGGAGCAACGCCGCGUGUGUGAUGAAGGCUUUCGGGUCGUAAAGCACUGUUGUAUGGGAAGAACAGCUAGAAUAGGAAAUGAUUUUAGUUUGACGGUACCAUACCAGAAAGGGACGGCUAAAUACGUGCCAGCAGCCGCGGUAAUACGUAUGUCCCGAGCGUUAUCCGGAUUUAUUGGGCGUAAAGCGAGCGCAGACGGUUUAUUAAGUCUGAUGUGAAAGCCCGGAGCUCAACUCCGGAAUGGCAUUGGAAACUGGUUAACUUGAGUGCAGUAGAGGUAAGUGGAACUCCAUGUGUAGCGGUGAAAUGCGUAGAUAUAUGGAAGAACACCAGUGGCGAAGGCGGCUUACUGGACUGCAACUGACGUUGAGGCUCGAAAGUGUGGGUAGCAAAC
Molecule: ribosomal RNA, 758 nt
Filed under: uncultured bacterium
Lineage: Bacteria
Description: bacterial SSU rRNA
Rfam family: Bacterial small subunit ribosomal RNA
Source: RNAcentral